AACUAGUUGAAAGUUUUAUUUUUAUAAAAUUAACAUAAAAGAUUGUUUAAAAAUCUGCAGUUAUUUACAGCAGUAUUGCACAAGUAAAGUGGCAAUUACCCUGUCAAAAUUCACACACAGGCACCAGGCUAAAUCAGCAGGGAUGGCAGAACCACCUGCAUGGAACCACCAUGAAGUCUCCUUAAAGCUCCCAUAAGCUUUCACAUCUUGACACCCAGUCCAGUGGGGCCCCAACCUCCCCUGAAGGAGAUGGAGUAUCAGAAGGAGGGCAUCGACCUGAAGAAGCAGGCUGACCAAAUGCAGUGACCGUAUGGGUGGGGCGUGGGGAGGGCUGUACAGUUAAUUAGCUCCUGAAGACAAGUUAGUCCAACCUCAAAGCACAGGAAGUUGCACAGCAGGUGGGGGAAAACCCAGCUACUCACAGUUGUCCACAAGGGGUUAGUGGCCUGAGGUGGUCCUUAGGCAGGAGCCACCUGUCCCACCCAUUCACUUGUCCUGCCUGGCCCUAGCCCUGAACAACUGCAAUGCAGCACCUCUGGAAGUGGCACAUUUUAUUUCUUUUCUAAACGCUGAGUUGUCAGGGAUAAAUUUUCAAUAGAAAAAUCUUUCCCACCUGCUGAUAAUACUUUGGUUUUUUUGUUUUCCUAAAGAUAAAGCCUGGAGUCAGCAAAAUUUGCUUGCAUGAUAAGCUAGUUGCUUUGGAACAAACAGAAGGUUGCUGGGUAUUUCUUGGAGUAGAAUUUUGUAGCCUGCCAGACUGAGUUUCUCACUGGCAUCAAACACACACUUCAUCAUAAGGGCGGCAAAGCCCAAGAAUUGAAACCCACUUGACUGGAAAUACCAGGACCCGAAGGUGGAGAGCCACCCUGGAGGACCACGUGGUCUGCAAUGAGCUCUCCAGUCACCCCCGACAACUCUCAGGAGUUAACUUCAUGGGACGGCAGGGGAGUGGGAGACAGGGAUGUUAAUACUUUUCAGAAAUUAAGACAUUAAAUAAGCAGAAAAUAAAUAUACAAUAUUUCUACAAGUUACAGCAUUAUGAAACAGUAGGACACAUCACACAGAAAAAGAAUCUACAAUAUUUACAAUCCUUGAUUUUGAAAAAGUUGAGAAAAACAGUGAUUUUUUUACUUAUUUAUGCUGUACAAAAUUUUACAAGGUAAAGGA
RNAcentral lists this long non-coding RNA (1167 nucleotides) under Homo sapiens (human). RNAcentral's name for it is "HSALNT0037733". The record is from RNAcentral. Lineage: Eukaryota; Metazoa; Chordata; Mammalia; Primates; Hominidae.